Non-coding RNA from Pelobates cultripes (western spadefoot toad), 671 nucleotides. The record is from the annotation of a GenBank genome assembly. NCBI's taxonomy places the organism in Eukaryota, Metazoa, Chordata, Amphibia, Anura, Pelobatidae.
CAGGGCUCUCUGUAUACUGUGUACUUAAAUCAGGAGGUCUCUCUGUAUACUGUGUACACCAGUAAAUCAGGCAGGCCGGGGCUCUCUGUAUACUGUGUACAGCAGUAAAUCAGGCAGGUCAGGGCUCUCUGUAUCCUGUGUACAGCAGUAAAUCAGGCAGGUCAGGGCUCUCUGUAUACUGUGUACUUAAAUCAGGAGGUCUCUCUGUAUACUGUGUACACCAGUAAAUCAGGCAGGCCGGGGCUCUCUGUAUACUGUGUACACCAGUAAAUCAGGCAGGUCGGGGCUCUCUGUAUACUGUAUACAGCAGUAAAUCAGGCAGGUCAGGGCUCUCUGUAUACUGUGUACUUAAAUCAGGAGGUCUCUCUGUAUACUGUGUACAGCAGUAAAUCAGGAAGGCCAGGGCUCUCUGUAUACUGUGUACACCAGUAAAUCAGGCAGGCCGGGGCUCUCUGUAUACUGUGUACAGCAGUAAAUCAGGCAGGUCAGGGCUCUCUGUAUAUGGUGUACAGCAGUAAAUCAGGCAGGUAAAGGCUCUCUGUAUACUGUGUACAGCAGUAAAUCAGGCAGGUCAGGGCUCUCUGUAUUCUGUGUACAGCAGUAAAUCAGGCAGGCCGGGGCUCUCUGUAUACUGUGUACAGCAGUAAAUCAGGCAGGUCGGGGCUCUCUGU